Molecule: long non-coding RNA, 517 nt
Organism: Alosa sapidissima (American shad)
Lineage: Eukaryota; Metazoa; Chordata; Actinopteri; Clupeiformes; Clupeidae
Exons: 3
Source: RefSeq, a predicted model, not a curated record
UGUCUUUGCCCUGUUUGCGUCUCAGCUCAGUGAUCAGGUCCUGCUGCUGACGCUUGCCCUUGUGAGAUGGUGACUGUUGGAAAAGAAAAUGGAGUCAUCUUCGGCCAAGAACUACACUGUCAAAAUGUUAAAGCAUUCCACCCUAUAGACCUAUAGGCCUACUAUUGAAACUACUGCAUAAUGAGUAUCUAGCAGCUUUACAGAAUCCUGUAAAAGUACAAAGAAAGAGUUGGUGACAGGAAGGUAUUCUUGUCCACACAGAACCAUUAGAACAGCGCUGUCCAUCUAAGCAUGGCACUGCUCUGAGGUUGAUGUUGGGAACCAAACGCACCUGCUGGUCCUCUUGCUCCUCCAUCAUGGCCUCUUGUUCUAGAAGUUUCUCCAUCAUCAUCUGCUCUUGCUUCUUCCUCUGCUCGUUCUCCUCAUCCGCUUGCUGUGGGACACAAAAAACAGGUGGAAAUGUAUGCAAGAGUGGCUGGGCUGAGUGUGUGACAUUGUGUUUGCUUACCCGGUAAGA